GGGCGAUUAGCUCAGUCGGUAGAGCGCCUGCCUUACAAGCAGGAUGUCGGCAGUUCGAAUCUGUCAUCGCCCACCA
RNAcentral lists this transfer RNA (76 nucleotides) under Desulfosporosinus sp. HMP52. RNAcentral's name for it is "tRNA-Val". It matches the Rfam family "tRNA". Rfam says of the family: Transfer RNA (tRNA) molecules are approximately 80 nucleotides in length. Lineage: Bacteria; Bacillati; Bacillota; Clostridia; Eubacteriales; Desulfitobacteriaceae. The record is from RNAcentral.